RNAcentral lists this ribosomal RNA (253 nucleotides) under uncultured bacterium. Its description in RNAcentral is "partial 16S ribosomal RNA". It matches the Rfam family "Bacterial small subunit ribosomal RNA", at positions 524 to 776 of the family's 1533-position model. The record is from RNAcentral.
UACGGGGGGGGCAAGCGUUGUUCGGAAUUACCGGGCGUAAAGGGCUCGUAGGCGGCCAACUAAGUCAGACGUGAAAUCCCUAGGCUCAACCUAGGAACUGCGUCUGAUACUGGAUGGCUUGAAUCCGGGAGAGGGAUGCAGAAUUCCAGGUGUAGCGGUGAAAUGCGUAGAUAUCUGGAGGAAUACCGGUGGCGAAGGCGGCAUCCUGGACCGGCAUUGACGCUGAGGAGCGAAAGCCAGGGGAGCAAACGGG